AGUGAACGCUGGCGGUAGGCCUAACACAUGCAAGUCGAACGGCAGCACAGUAAGAGCUUGCUCUUACGGGUGGCGAGUGGCGGACGGGUGAGGAAUACAUCGGAAUCUACUUUUUCGUGGGGGAUAACGUAGGGAAACUUACGCUAAUACCGCAUACGACCUACGGGUGAAAGCAGGGGAUCUUCGGACCUUGCGCGAUUGAAUGAGCCGAUGUCGGAUUAGCUAGUUGGCGGGGUAAAGGCCCACCAAGGCGACGCUCCGUAGCUGGUCUGAGAGGAUGAUCAGCCACACGGGAACUGAGACACGGUCCAGACUCCUACGGGAGGCAGCAGUGGGGAAUAUUGGACAAUGGGCGCAGGCCUGAUCCAGCCAGACCGCGUGGGUGAAGAAGGCCUUCGGGUUGUAAAGCCCUUUUGUUGGGAAAGAAAAGCAGCAGGUUAAUACCCCGCUGUUCUGACGGUACCUAAAGAAUAAGCACCGGCUAACUUCGUG
Molecule: ribosomal RNA, 492 nt
Filed under: uncultured bacterium
Lineage: Bacteria
Description: partial 16S ribosomal RNA
Rfam family: Bacterial small subunit ribosomal RNA
Source: RNAcentral